Molecule: non-coding RNA, 485 nt
Organism: Paramuricea clavata
Lineage: Eukaryota; Metazoa; Cnidaria; Anthozoa; Malacalcyonacea; Plexauridae
Source: the annotation of a GenBank genome assembly
CCCACGCCGGGCCACGGGCCACCUACCAUCAGUCAUCCGCUAGAUACAACAGUUCAGGAUGAUAUUGCUUUGCCUAGUCAAGAACUUGCACCAAAUGACAUGAUUAGUUCAUCAAGUGACACUUCGGAUGAAUAUGUAACAUGUGAUGAUGGUGAAAAUGGUCGUCCACAAGCAGUAAGUACUUGUUGCUUUGUUGUUUAGUUAGCAGUCUCAUCGUUAGUAAGUUGAUUUUCUUUUGCCAGAACAAACUGUAAAUUUUUGUUGUUUUGUUUUAUUUAGUUGCAGCUUGAUGAAGAAGAUUUACGAGAUGUAAUUUCUUUCCAGGAAAUUUUUGAUGCAUUUGAAUGCGCAUUGAACGAAAUGUUUAUUGUGAAUGAAAUUUGAUUUUAAUUAAUUCUAUUGAAACAAUAGUUCUCAUGCAAAUUAAAGCAAAUGACAAUAGACCUUUCCCCUUAUGAGUGAAAUUUUGGUCUAGAUAUGCCUGG